UGGCAAGGUAUUUCCUGAGGCUGUGAUC
Molecule: non-coding RNA, 28 nt
Filed under: Mus musculus (house mouse)
Lineage: Eukaryota; Metazoa; Chordata; Mammalia; Rodentia; Muridae
Source: RNAcentral